This 253-nucleotide ribosomal RNA is filed under the name uncultured bacterium. RNAcentral's name for it is "partial 16S ribosomal RNA". It matches the Rfam family "Bacterial small subunit ribosomal RNA", at positions 524 to 776 of the family's 1533-position model. The record is from RNAcentral.
UACAGAGGGUGCAAGCGUUAAUCGGAAUUACUGGGCGUAAAGCGCACGCAGGCGGCUUUGCAAGACAGAUGUGAAAUCCCCGGGCUCAACCUGGGAACUGCAUUUGUGACUGCGAGGCUAGAGUACGGCAGAGGGGGAUGGAAUUCCGCGUGUAGCAGUGAAAUGCGUAGAUAUGCGGAGGAACACCAAUGGCGAAGGCAAUCCCCUGGGCCUGUACUGACGCUCAUGCACGAAAGCGUGGGGAGCAAACAGG